CUGGUUUAUUAAAUGUGAGGAGUAAAAUGCCUGCAGUAGAAAUAAAACAAUCAGAGUGGUUGAUGCAACAGAGAGAGAGAGAGAAGAGAAGAGAAGAAAAAAAGAAGGACACUGCUCAGAACCAUGUCCCUGUGGAAUCCCAGUGGGCUACUCUGAGAGGCGUCAAGGCAAAUCUCUUAAUCCAGGAUCAUCACUGACUGAUAACUUUCAUUCAGAAAAAUUGGCAAACAUGGGGCUCUAUCGGUG
Long non-coding RNA from Physeter macrocephalus (sperm whale), 246 nucleotides. RefSeq lists it as uncharacterized. The transcript is spliced from 3 exons. The record is from RefSeq and is a predicted model, not a curated record. NCBI's taxonomy places the organism in Eukaryota, Metazoa, Chordata, Mammalia, Artiodactyla, Physeteridae.